GUGGGGAAUAUUGGACAAUGGGCGCAAGCCUGAUCCAGCCAUACCGCGUGGGUGAAGAAGGCCUUCGGGUUGUAAAGCCCUUUUGUUGGGAAAGAAAUCCUGUCGAUUAAUACUCGGUGGGGAUGACGGUACCCAAAGAAUAAGCACCGGCUAACUUCGUGCCAGCAGCCGCGGUAAUACGAAGGGUGCAAGCGUUACUCGGAAUUACUGGGCGUAAAGCGUGCGUAGGUGGUGGUUUAAGUCUGCUGUGAAAGCCCUGGGCUCAACCUGGGAAUUGCAGUGGAUACUGGAUCAGUAGAGUGUGGUAGAGGGAUGCGGAAUUUCUGGUGUAGCAGUGAAAUGCGUAGAGAUCAGAAGGAACAUCCGUGGCGAAGGCGGCAUCCUGGGCCAACACUGACACUGAGGCACGAAAGCGUGGGGAGCAAACAGGAUUAGAAACCCGAGUAGUCC
RNAcentral lists this ribosomal RNA (450 nucleotides) under uncultured bacterium. RNAcentral's name for it is "partial 16S ribosomal RNA". It matches the Rfam family "Bacterial small subunit ribosomal RNA", at positions 354 to 796 of the family's 1533-position model. The record is from RNAcentral.